This is a long non-coding RNA of Trematomus bernacchii (emerald rockcod), 239 nucleotides long. RefSeq lists it as uncharacterized. NCBI's taxonomy places the organism in Eukaryota, Metazoa, Chordata, Actinopteri, Perciformes, Nototheniidae. The transcript is spliced from 3 exons. The record is from RefSeq and is a predicted model, not a curated record.
UUUGCAAUCUCCCAGACUUGAAAAGGACUAUAUAAAAAAGACACUGAAAUAGUUUGGUACAUCGAAUUCAGAUAGAAAAAGGGAUUUUAUAACUUUUCAUCUUUUAUCUCUUAAUGAUGGAUUCAAAGGAAAAGAGGAUGGAUGUCGGACGGAUCGUAUCAAUUUCCCUGAUUUUAAUAGUUUUUUUUACAGUUGCGUCAUCUUCAACAACUGCUCCACCUACAACUGCUGCACCCACA